GCCUCGGUAGCUCAGUCGGUAGAGCAACGGACUGAAAAUCCGUGUGUCGGCGGUUCGAUUCCGCCCUGAGGCACCA
RNAcentral lists this transfer RNA (76 nucleotides) under Gracilibacteraceae bacterium. RNAcentral describes it as "tRNA-Phe". It matches the Rfam family "tRNA". Rfam says of the family: Transfer RNA (tRNA) molecules are approximately 80 nucleotides in length. Their secondary structure includes four short double-helical elements and three loops (D, anti-codon, and T loops). The record is from RNAcentral. Lineage: Bacteria; Bacillati; Bacillota; Clostridia; Eubacteriales; Gracilibacteraceae.